Molecule: unclassified non-coding RNA, 176 nt
Filed under: uncultured Leptodiscella
Lineage: Eukaryota; Fungi; Ascomycota
Description: sequence contains ITS1
Source: RNAcentral
CAACGAAAAAACGCUCCCGAAAGGGACGUUAUUUCACACCAUUGUGUACCAAACUUUUGUUGCCUCGGUGGGUCGGGCUGCGCCUACCCGGCCAGUCCCCCUUAGGGAGCCGCCCACCGCAGGACCUUUCAAACCAGUUCGUUGAUGAACGUCUGAUUUUAUCUUUUAAAGAAAUA